GCCGGGCAGGGUGGCACGUGUCUGUAGUUCCAGCUAUUCGGGAGGCUGAGGCUGGAGGAUCUCUUGAGCCCAGGAGUUCUGGGUUGUAGUGCACUAUGCUGAUCGGGUGUCCACACUAAGUUUGGCAUCAAUAUGGUGACCUCCAGGGAGCGGGGACCACCAGGUUGCCUAAGGAGGGGUGAACCAGCCCAGGUCGGAAACGGAGUAGGUCAAAACUCCCGUGCUGAUCUGUAGUGGGAUUGCGCCUGUGAAUAGCCACUGUACUCCAGCCUGGGCAACAUAGCGAGACCCUGUCUUUA
Callithrix jacchus (white-tufted-ear marmoset) is the source of this 299-nucleotide unclassified non-coding RNA. It matches the Rfam family "Metazoan signal recognition particle RNA". From Rfam's summary of the family: The signal recognition particle (SRP) is a universally conserved ribonucleoprotein. It is involved in the co-translational targeting of proteins to membranes. The eukaryotic SRP consists of a 300-nucleotide 7S RNA and six proteins: SRPs 72, 68, 54, 19, 14, and 9. The record is from Ensembl. NCBI's taxonomy places the organism in Eukaryota, Metazoa, Chordata, Mammalia, Primates, Cebidae.